UUCUUGGUCAUUUAGAGGAAGUAAAAGUCGUAACAAGGUCUCCGUUGGUGAACCAGCGGAGGGAUCAUUACUGAGUUUACGCUCUAUAACCCUUUGUGAACAUACCUAUAACUGUUGCUUCGGCGGGUAGGGUCUCCGCGACCCUCCCGGCCUCCCGCCUCCGGGCGGGUCGGCGCCCGCCGGAGGAUAACCAAACUCUGAUUUAACGACGUUUCUUCUGAGUGGUACAAGCAAAUAAUCAAAACUUUUAACAACGGAUCUCUUGGUUCUGGCAUCGAUGAAGAACGCAGCGAAAUGCGAUAAGUAAUGUGAAUUGCAGAAUUCAGUGAAUCAUCGAAUCUUUGAACGCACAUUGCGCCCGCCAGCAUUCUGGCGGGCAUGCCUGUUCGAGCGUCAUUUCAACCCUCAAGCUCUGCUUGGUGUUGGGGCCCUACAGCUGAUGUAGGCCCUCAAAGGUAGUGGCGGACCCUCCCGGAGCCUCCUUUGCGUAGUAACUUUACGUCUCGCACUGGGAUCCGGAGGGACUCUUGCCGUAAAACCCCCCAANUCCAAAGGUGACCUCGGAUCAGU
Molecule: ribosomal RNA, 570 nt
Filed under: Colletotrichum viniferum
Lineage: Eukaryota; Fungi; Ascomycota; Sordariomycetes; Glomerellales; Glomerellaceae
Description: eukaryotic LSU rRNA
Rfam family: 5.8S ribosomal RNA (bases 243-396)
Source: RNAcentral